AGCUGGAGUCACAUGCUUGAAUUU
Molecule: microRNA, 24 nt
Filed under: Medicago truncatula (barrel medic)
Lineage: Eukaryota; Viridiplantae; Streptophyta; Magnoliopsida; Fabales; Fabaceae
Description: mtr-miR5275
Source: miRBase by way of RNAcentral